Long non-coding RNA from Xenopus laevis (African clawed frog), 477 nucleotides. RefSeq lists it as uncharacterized. Lineage: Eukaryota; Metazoa; Chordata; Amphibia; Anura; Pipidae. The transcript is spliced from 3 exons. The record is from RefSeq and is a predicted model, not a curated record.
UACUGAAAACAUUUUAGGGUUCAUUUACCAAAGAAGUGCAAGUUUAGAGCAACUUUGUAUAUAGUGUUUCAGCCAAGAAAUUGCAAAUGUUUUCAAGUUUAAUUUCACUUCUUAGAACCGCUCUUAACGUCUGUCCUGAUUAGAUAAGAGGUUCAGAAACACUCUGCCUUCCCUGGGCCAUGACUGCAAUGCCGUGUCUUAUUAGCAGCCCUGCAAACGAGGGCAGGAUGUUCAAUUAACAAAUGAAAAGACAAUUAUAUGGAGGGGAUAGUUUCUUUUAGGCUAAUGUCACAUGGGGGCAGUUUAGCCGUCACUGCAAUAACAUGUAGAACAGCAGUUGUUGAAAUUUGCCACUCGGCUUAUCACUGCUUCCCAUCAUUAUCAUGUGCUCUGUAUCUAUGGAGAAAGCCAGGAUUGUGUGACUGAAUAGCAUAAUCCUACAGAUGAUUUCUAAAAUAUGACAUACACCACCCCACA